This 1081-nucleotide ribosomal RNA is filed under the name uncultured bacterium. RNAcentral describes it as "bacterial SSU rRNA". It matches the Rfam family "Bacterial small subunit ribosomal RNA", at positions 295 to 1399 of the family's 1533-position model. The record is from RNAcentral.
AGAGGUUGAACGCCCACAUUGGGAGUGACACGCGCCCCAGUCUCCUGCGGGACGCCGCAGUGGGGGAUAUCGCACAAUGGGGGAACCCCUGACACAGCGACGCCGCGAGGAAAAAGAAUGUUUUGAUAUUAUAAAUUCCUGUUGUUAGGGAAGAUAAUGACGGUACCUAACAAGAAAGCCCCGGCUAACUACGUGCCAGCAGCCGCGGUAAUACGUAGGGGGCAAGCGUUGUCCGGAAUUACUGGGUGUAAAGGGAGCGCAGGCGGGAAGACAAGUCAGAAGUGAAAACCAUGGGCUCAACCCAUGAAUUGCUUUCAAAACUGUUUUUCUUGAGUAGAGCAGAGGCAGAUGGAAUUCCCGGUGUAGCGGUGGAAUGCGUAGAUAUUGGGAGGAACACCAGUGGCGAAGGCGGUUUACUGGGCUCCAACUGACGCUGAGGCUCGAAAGCAUGGGUAGCAAACAGGAUUAGAUACCCUGGUAGUCCACGCCGUAAACGAUGAUUGGUAGGUGGGGUGGGACUGCCUCCGUCAGUGCGGCAGUUCACUACAACAAGUCAUCCGCGGGGGGAGUCCGCCCGCAAGGUUGUCACUCAAAGGAAUGGGCGGGGGCCCGCACAAGCAGUGGAGUAGGUGGUUUAAUUGGAAGCAACGGGACGAUCCUUGGUAGGUCCAUACAUCCGAUGCAUAGUGCAGAGAUGCAGGAACUCUUUCGGGACAUCGAGACAGGUGGUGCAUGGUUGUCGUCAGCUCGUGUCGUGAGAUGUUGGGUUAAGUCCCGCAACGAGCGCAACCCUUAUCGCCAGUUACUACGCAAGAGGACUCUGGCGAGACUGCCGUUGACAAAACGGAGGAAGGUGGGGAUGACGUCAAAUCAUCAUGCCCUUUAUGACCCGGGCUACACACGUAAUACAAUGGCGUUUAACAAAGAGAAGCAAGACCGCGAGGUGGAGCAAAACUCAAAAACAACGUCUCAGUUCAGAUUGCAGGCUGCAACUCGCCUGCAUGAAGUCGGAAUUGCUAGUAAUCGCGGAUCAGCAUGCCGCGGUGAAUACGUUCCCGGGCCUUGCACUCACCGCCCGUCA